GCUAAGCACCCGGGCUCUUCUGGGGGCUCCAGGUGAGCGGGGGCACAGAGGGGUCAGGGAGACCGCCCUCGAGGUGGGGCUGUCGGUCUGACCGCGGGUCCAUCUGUCCUGCCGUCCGCCCACAGCCUCCUCCGCAGGAUGGGAGAACAAAGGGAAGGGGCGGUUCUGGGGCCCCCGAGGGAAUCCCGGGUCGCAGGUACCCAGUCCCGCCCACUGACACUUGGGUUUCUCCCCGAGUCAUAGGCGCCGCCCAAGAGACCCUGGGCCGGCGCCGGGCGCAGCUGCCUCUCCGUCUUUGUGUCUCUCUCUGUGUCUGUCUGGCUAUCUCCGAGUUUGCCUCCGCUUCCAGAACUAAGCCACCCAGACACCAUCAUCCCGAAAACCCCAGCCCUUCUCCCAUGGCAGGUAAGUGCGCACAAGUCCGGGGUCUCCGUUAUCCCCCCACGGACUUGGGAGCCGAGUUUGAACACAUCCUCCCGGAACGUGCUCGGACUGGCUGGGUGGGGCCCCUCCCUUCCUUCCGGGGAACCUCCACCCUGCUCCCCUGCCCCAUCUUUCUCUGCCUCUUGCCACCACGUUUCCUCCGAAGCCUCGCGGUCCAUGGGCUGAGGAAUAAGGGGAUGAGGCCUUGGGUCCCUUUCUAAUCUAUCCUGCCCCCACCGCUUUACAGGCUACUUGCCCCCCAAAGGCUACGCCCCUUCGCCCCCACCUCCCUACCCUGUCACCCCUGGGUACCCGGAGCCGGCGCUACAUCCUGGGCCCGGGCAGGCGCCAGUGCCCGCCCAGGUACCUGCCCCAGCUCCCGGCUUCGCCCUCUUCCCCUCGCCCGGCCCCGUGGCCUCGGGGUCUGCUGCCCCCUUCUUGCCACUGCCAGGGGUGCCUUCUGGCCUCGAAUUCCUGGUGCAGAUUGAUCAGAUUUUGAUUCACCAGAAGGCUGAGCGAGUGGAAAGUAAGUAGAAGCAGUGGGAGGUUGGACCUCAUGGUGGUGGCCUGGAUGGUGGGCUCCUGGGCGCGCGAGGCUCUAUAAAUCUCCCCGUGUCACCCCUGGCAGCGUUCCUAGGCUGGGAGACCUGUAACCGGUAUGAACUGCGCUCUGGGGCCGGGCAGCCCCUGGGUCAGGCGGCCGAGGAGAGCAACUGCUGCGCCCGUCUGUGCUGUGGCGCCCGCCGGCCGCUGCGUGUCCGCCUGGCCGACCCCGGGGACCGCGAGGUGCUGCGUUUGCUCCGCCCGCUGCACUGUGGCUGCAGCUGCUGUCCCUGUGGCCUCCAGGAGAUGGAAGUACAGGCUCCACCAGGCACCACCAUUGGCCACGUGCUACAGACCUGGCAUCCCUUCCUCCCCAAGUUCUCCAUCCAGGAUGCCGAUCGCCAGACAGUCUUGCGAGUGGUGGGGCCCUGCUGGACCUGUGGCUGUGGCACAGACACCAACUUUGAGGUGAAGACUCGGGAUGAAUCCCGCAGUGUGGGCCGCAUCAGCAAGCAGUGGGGGGGCCUGGUCCGAGAAGCCAUCACGGCUGCAGAUGACUUCGGCCUACAGUUCCCGCUGGACCUGGAUGUGAGGGUGAAGGCUGUGUUGCUGGGAGCCACUUUCCUCAUUGACUACAUGUUCUUUGAGAAGCAAGGAGGCGCUGGGCCCUCUGCCAUCACCAGUUAGAGGCCCCUAUGGUGUGAGGAGACCAUCACCUCGACCAGAACUCCAGAUGGUCACCUGCCCUGGCCCCUCCUCUGGGCAGCCCCUUUCCCCCAUGUACACUGCAGGGGACAGAAGGGGGACCCCAUCCCUACCCUACUCCCUGGCCGCCUGCCCCUGUGGUCCCCAAGGAGGGGUAUGUAUGAGAGCCCCUCUCCUGCUACCUCCCACCACUGUCCCAGCAGUCCCUCGGCACACAGGCAUAUCGGCUUUCACACUUUCCCCAUGCACUCCCUCCCACCCCUUUCCAGGGCCUCUGCUCCAAAGGAGGCCUCUGGAACCCAGGACUCUGGGGUUUUACAAGAGGGCUGGGGUGUGGAAGGGCAAGCUGCUGCACCAAAGACGGUGGAUAUAGCCACCGCCCCCGCCCCCCCGCCCCGCCGCUGCCUAGCAUCUCCUUGGCCAAUUAGUUCAGCCUCAGACCAUGGCACUUUGAGGGGGUCUCUACCUCCCCAUCAACAGCUGCAGGGGGACCCCAGUGCCAACUUCCUCUCCCACUAGGGCCCUGCCUUCAGCUGGUGCUUGCUGCGAUUCCUGUGCCUUAUGUAACUGCCCUUCCUUCCCUUGCCCUAGGAAAAAGGCUGCAUCUUUAUAUGUUACAUUCAUAUAAACUUUGUAACUUUUUGGACAUUG
This 2322-nucleotide small RNA is filed under the name Pongo abelii (Sumatran orangutan). Its description in RNAcentral is "retained intron". The record is from RNAcentral. Lineage: Eukaryota; Metazoa; Chordata; Mammalia; Primates; Hominidae.